RNAcentral lists this ribosomal RNA (520 nucleotides) under uncultured bacterium. RNAcentral describes it as "bacterial SSU rRNA". It matches the Rfam family "Bacterial small subunit ribosomal RNA", at positions 120 to 674 of the family's 1533-position model. The record is from RNAcentral.
GGGAAUCUGCCCCUUGGUUCGGAAUAACAGUUGGAAACGACUGCUAAUACCGGAUGAUGACGUAAGUCCAAAGAUUUAUCGCCGAGGGAUGAGCCCGCGUAGGAUUAGGUAGUUGGUGUGGUAAAGGCGCACCAAGCCGACGAUCCUUAGCUGGUCUGAGAGGAUGAUCAGCCACACUGGGACUGAGACACGGCCCAGACUCCUACGGGAGGCAGCAGUGGGGAAUAUUGGACAAUGGGCGAAAGCCUGAUCCAGCAAUGCCGCGUGAGUGAUGAAGGCCUUAGGGUUGUAAAGCUCUUUUACCCGGGAUGAUAAUGACAGUACCGGGAGAAUAAGCUCCGGCUAACUCCGUGCCAGCAGCCGCGGUAAUACGGAGGGAGCUAGCGUUAUUCGGAAUUACUGGGCGUAAAGCGCACGUAGGCGGCUUUGUAAGUUAGAGGUGAAAGCCCAGAGCUCAACUCUGGAAUUGCCUUUGAUACUGCAUCGCUUGAAUCCAGGAGAGGUGAGUGGAAUUCCGAGU